GAUCAUGGCUCAGGAUGAACGCUAGCUACAGGCUUAACACAUGCAAGUCGAGGGGGCGAGCAUGGUCUUAGCUUGCUAAGGCUGAUGGCGACCGGCGCACGGGUGAGUAACACGUAUCCAACCUGCCGUCUACUCUUGGCCAGCCUUCUGAAAGGAAGAUUAAUCCAGGAUGGGAUCAUGAGUUCACAUGUCCGCAUGAUUAAAGGUAUUUUCCGGUAGACGAUGGGGA
RNAcentral lists this ribosomal RNA (229 nucleotides) under uncultured bacterium. RNAcentral describes it as "partial 16S ribosomal RNA". It matches the Rfam family "Bacterial small subunit ribosomal RNA", at positions 15 to 231 of the family's 1533-position model. The record is from RNAcentral.